This 500-nucleotide ribosomal RNA is filed under the name Epacris pulchella root associated fungus EP27. Its description in RNAcentral is "eukaryotic LSU rRNA". The stretch from base 159 to 312 matches the Rfam family "5.8S ribosomal RNA". Lineage: Eukaryota; Fungi. The record is from RNAcentral.
AGGGAUCAUUACCGAGUGAGGGCCCCCCGGGCCCGACCUCCCACCCUUUGUUUUCCAACCAUGUUGCCUCGGGGGCGACCCGGCCUUCGGGCGUCGGGGCCCCCGGUGGCCUAUUCAACUCUGCAUCUGAGCGUCUGAGCGAAUAGCAAAUCAACUAAAACUUUCAACAACGGAUCUCUUGGUUCUGGCAUCGAUGAAGAACGCAGCGAAAUGCGAUAAGUAAUGUGAAUUGCAGAAUUCAGUGAAUCAUCGAAUCUUUGAACGCACAUUGCGCCCCUUGGUAUUCCGGGGGGCAUGCCCGUUCGAGCGUCAUUACACCACUCAAGCCUGGCUUGGUAUUGGGCAUCGUGCUCCGGCGCGCGCCUUAAUGUUGUCGGCCGAGCCGUCCGUCUCUAAGCGUUGUGGUAACUCAAUCCGCUUGCGAUUCGGACGGGUGCGCGCCGUUAAACCCUCUAUCAAAGGUUGACCUCGGAUCGGGUAGGGAUACCCGCUGAACUUAA